UAAAAGCUUGAAUGCUGCCUUAAAAAAAAAAACCUGACAAGCUUAAUUUAUUCUUCAAAAGGAGAAACUCUUUCAAAUAUCAACUAACAGUAUUCUUGCAAUGAUCUCAAAAAUAUUUGAUAGAUACCAUACGGACACAACCUUAUGAUUGCUUGUAGGUAAUUCACGGAUCUCCACACGUCUAACUGAAAACGAAGUCGCGAAAAUUCAAUCUACAAAAAGACGGAUGAUUUUCAUAAAUAUGCUCUAUUGUUAGUCGCUUCAUUAUGUACAGGUUCUUUACAAACAGCGGCUGGAUCAUCCCACGGUUAUAGAAGAUCCAAAAACAUCAUCAAAAACAGAAGAAUUGGCUGGUGCAGACACAGGCCGCCCAAGCUCUGUCACAGGCUCUUUCACAG
This is a long non-coding RNA of Stylophora pistillata, 398 nucleotides long. The record is from RefSeq and is a predicted model, not a curated record. Lineage: Eukaryota; Metazoa; Cnidaria; Anthozoa; Scleractinia; Pocilloporidae.